AAAUCCUGCUCUCUGGUUGCUGAACCAAUGUUCCAAAAUGGAGACUAUUCUGCUAUUUUGAAGACAGCUCACGCUCCCCUUUCACUUCUUGCAGUGAAAUCAGCAGCAGGGUUUUGCACUCUCUGUUAUGACUCUCAUCACAUCAGAUUGAUUGCUGCAGUCUCAGGAUCCUGCAGAAAAUGUGGGGCAGGAAGAAAGUUGUUAUUCAGGCAAAAUUAUCUCCAGUAGCAGCAGCAGGAACCCCGAAUACGCCCAGCAGUGGCAACACCAACAGAUAUAAUGACAAGGCACUGCAAGAAUCUGUGUUCAGAAGAAAAAGAAGAGGACUAUCGUGAGGCACAUUUAAGGAAUAGUGAAAAAUGCUGGUGCAGGAUUAUUGUCCCCUUACUAAGAGCAAAACAUCUCUGCAGAGAGGCACUGGAGCAGAUCUGAGGCAAUGAGUCCACUCCAUUGAAUGCACUGCUAUGUGAUUCUCAACUCCCUCCUUAGGAUUUCCUGCCUUUCAGGAUCCUUCAGGUCUGGCAGCUGCUUUUCCAUUCCCCAGGUACCACUUGAUGCCAGUCUUUAUGCCAAAUGCUCCUUGAGUGCUACUGAUCAGGAUCCCCUGAGUGAGGGGAAGCUGAAUGCAGAGAUGCUCAGGGGCGAGCAGAGGGAAUACCCGCUGUGCUGAAUCCAAAGAAGCGGGAAAGAGCAAACCACCUUUUCCCUCUAUUUUUGUCCUUUGAAUUUGGCCUUUCAAGGUAAAGUCAAGGACCUGAAACCACAUGAACUGCAACUGACCAAGAACAGCUUGUAGAAGCCAGUGUGAACUGGAACAGGCAGUUUUUUCACAGCUCUGCUUACAACUCAUUAAAAGGAACGACCACCAGGAAAUUAUAAUGGACAUGCUCAGGCAAUUUGUACUUCAGCAUCACAAACGAAACACUGUGAAAGAGGGCACCGCAGGCAGGGGAAAAACUCACGUGCUAGAACAAAGGUCCGGGGCUAGCUUUGAACCGGAGAAUCUGCCUGAUUGCACUGACCUGCAACACUAGCAGCACACAAGUGGGCACUGUAGAAAUGUGAAAGAAUGGGGUUGAUCGGCAGCAGCGUGGCCUAUAGCUGCCUACAACACUGGCCUAGGACACCUGGGUUCUCAGUCCCAGCUCUGCCACUUGUCUGGUGUGUGCGCUGGGGCAAGUCGCUUCCCAGGCCUCUGCCUCUGUUUUUCCUCCCAGGCUUUGUCUGGCUUCAGUAUUCAGACUGUAAGCUCUUUGGGGAAAGGGUUCUCUUUUACUGUGCCUAGCACA
Molecule: long non-coding RNA, 1289 nt
Organism: Mauremys reevesii (Reeves's turtle)
Lineage: Eukaryota; Metazoa; Chordata; Testudines; Geoemydidae
Exons: 4
Source: RefSeq, a predicted model, not a curated record